Molecule: transfer RNA, 71 nt
Filed under: Marmota monax (woodchuck)
Lineage: Eukaryota; Metazoa; Chordata; Mammalia; Rodentia; Sciuridae
Description: tRNA.Val
Rfam family: tRNA
About the family: Transfer RNA (tRNA) molecules are approximately 80 nucleotides in length.
Source: RNAcentral
GGGGUUGUGGCUCAGUGGUAGAGCACUUGCCUCACAUGCAUGGAGCGCUGGGUUUGAUCCUCAGCACCACA